Molecule: ribosomal RNA, 253 nt
Filed under: uncultured bacterium
Lineage: Bacteria
Description: partial 16S ribosomal RNA
Rfam family: Bacterial small subunit ribosomal RNA
Source: RNAcentral
UACGAAGGGUGCAAACGUUGCUCGGAAUCAUUGGGCGUAAAGCGCACGUAGGCGGCCUCAUAAGUCGGAUGUGAAAUCCCUCGGCUCAACCGAGGACGUGCAUUCGAAACUGCGAGGCUCGAGUAUGGAAGAGGGUCGCGGAAUUCCUGGUGUAGCGGUGAAAUGCGCAGAUAUCAGGAGGAACACCGGUGGCGAAGGCGCCACUCUGGGCCGAUACUGACGCUGAGGAGCGAAAGCGUGGGGAGCGAACAGG